RNAcentral lists this non-coding RNA (22 nucleotides) under Arabidopsis thaliana (thale cress). The record is from RNAcentral. Lineage: Eukaryota; Viridiplantae; Streptophyta; Magnoliopsida; Brassicales; Brassicaceae.
UCGCUGGAGGUGCCGAUGAUGC